RNAcentral lists this ribosomal RNA (465 nucleotides) under Vreelandella stevensii. Its description in RNAcentral is "partial 16S ribosomal RNA". It matches the Rfam family "Bacterial small subunit ribosomal RNA", at positions 338 to 795 of the family's 1533-position model. Lineage: Bacteria; Pseudomonadati; Pseudomonadota; Gammaproteobacteria; Oceanospirillales; Halomonadaceae. The record is from RNAcentral.
CCUACGGGAGGCUGCAGUGGGGAAUAUUGGACAAUGGGGGGAACCCUGAUCCAGCCAUGCCGCGUGUGUGAAGAAGGCCCUCGGGUUGUAAAGCACUUUCAGUGAGGAAGAACGCCUGGUGGUUAAUACCCAUCAGGAAAGACAUCACUCACAGAAGAAGCACCGGCUAACUCCGUGCCAGCAGCCGCGGUAAUACGGAGGGUGCGAGCGUUAAUCGGAAUUACUGGGCGUAAAGCGCGCGUAGGUGGCGUGGUAAGCCGGUUGUGAAAGCCCCGGGCUCAACCUGGGAACGGCAUCCGGAACUGUCAAGCUAGAGUGCAGGAGAGGAAGGUAGAAUUCCCGGUGUAGCGGUGAAAUGCGUAGAGAUCGGGAGGAAUACCAGUGGCGAAGGCGGCCUUCUGGACUGACACUGACACUGAGGUGCGAAAGCGUGGGUAGCAAACAGGAUUAGAUACCCUAGUAGUC